This 492-nucleotide ribosomal RNA is filed under the name uncultured bacterium. RNAcentral describes it as "partial 16S ribosomal RNA". It matches the Rfam family "Bacterial small subunit ribosomal RNA", at positions 29 to 507 of the family's 1533-position model. The record is from RNAcentral.
AGUGAACGCUGGCGGUAGGCCUAACACAUGCAAGUCGAACGGCAGCACAGUAAGAGCUUGCUCUUACGGGUGGCGAGUGGCGGACGAGUGAGGAAUAAAUCGGAAUCUACUUUUUCGUGGGGGAUAACGAAGGGAAACAUACGCUAAUACGGCAUACGACCUACGGGUGAAAGCAGGGGAUCUUCGGAGCUUGCGCGAGUGAAUGAGCCGAGGUCGGAUUGGCUAGUUGGCGGGGUAAAGGCCCACCUAGGCGACGAUCCGUAGCUGGUCUGAGAGGAUGAAGCGGCACACUGGGACUGAGACACCGCCCAGACUCCGACGGGAGGCCGCAGUUGGGAAUAGUGGACAAAGGGCGGAAGCCUGCUCCAUCCAUAGCGGCUUGGUGAAGAAAGGCCUCGGGCUGUAAAACCCCUUUGUUGGGAAAGAAAAGCAGCAGGUUAAUACCCCGCUGUUCUGACGGUACCCAAAGAAUAAGCACCGGCUAACUUCGUG